UACUAUUUUCUCGUUUUCCCAGGUGUCUCGGACGUUAUUUCAUCAGGACAGACAAUUUUAGUCAGAAAUGGGCGAGAAUUGACUGGCUGGUAUCAGAUUUGGCCAAAACUGAAUCAACGAAGUCAAUUUUAGUAAAAAACUGGACUGGGGGUGGGAGGAACGGGUUCACUGAUCGCUAUUAUCCCGUGAUGGUGUGACCCAAAAUAGUUUGCUAGGUUGUUGCAGCUUAUUCGAAGUUCUAUCAAGGGGUCCCGAUGCUAAAAGAGUAAUAUCAUAACCCGAGCCGGGGCCCUGGCCGCGACGGGCAUUCUGAACCAUCAAAGACCGAGAUACCCCUGAA
Molecule: long non-coding RNA, 340 nt
Filed under: Capsicum annuum
Lineage: Eukaryota; Viridiplantae; Streptophyta; Magnoliopsida; Solanales; Solanaceae
Description: long non-coding RNA (CANN_LNC017984)
Source: RNAcentral